This 72-nucleotide transfer RNA is filed under the name Camelus ferus (Wild Bactrian camel). It matches the Rfam family "tRNA". Rfam says of the family: Transfer RNA (tRNA) molecules are approximately 80 nucleotides in length. Their secondary structure includes four short double-helical elements and three loops (D, anti-codon, and T loops). Lineage: Eukaryota; Metazoa; Chordata; Mammalia; Artiodactyla; Camelidae. The record is from Rfam by way of RNAcentral.
GGAAGUAUAGCUCAGUGGUAGAGCGCACGCUUAGCAUGCAUGAGGUCCUGGGUUCAAUCCCCAGCACUUUCU